RNAcentral lists this long non-coding RNA (783 nucleotides) under Ixodes scapularis (black-legged tick). RNAcentral describes it as "uncharacterized LOC120845212". The record is from RNAcentral. Lineage: Eukaryota; Metazoa; Arthropoda; Arachnida; Ixodida; Ixodidae.
AAGCAAACAGAUAGGAGACUGCACAUUCAUGUUUUUCCCCCUUGUGCUACAGGUGAUGGCUGGUCGCGGUUCAUCAGCGUUUGUUUUGAAACUGAUGGGUACCACAAGGCAUGAAGGAGGUGACUUGCAGCAGCAAGACACUGCAAGCCUUCGCAGCAACUGGCUAGCCAGUGCUGCUCUGUUCUGAACUGCACUACGUGUCAUGCGGAGGUUUUGUGCAAGCUCUCUGAGCGGCGACGCUAGCCACGAUUGGCUUCGUGGAUGCACAGAAAUACUCAAGGCGCUUGACGUCUGUGGCUCAUCUGUAUUGUUUUUCCCGGUACCACGGCAUGAAGGAGCUGGCCUCCCUCCCUUCCAUCAGCUGCGAGAUACUACAAGCACUGGGCUACAGCUGCAGCUAGCCCAUGGGUACCGUUCUGCGUCCUGUACUGCAUCUAGUUCGAAAGGCCAUGUGAAAGGCAGGUACCGGGGACCAUGACAUCAGUGAGCUGGCUUUCACCUUGUCCAAGGCAGCAGCGGAACACUACGGGCGGGACCCUGGAUCACUGCACCAUGGAUGCCGUCCUGUACCCUGCACGGCACUGCGUGUGGCUUAAGUGGCCAAGCAGAGGGUCAUUGCAUGACUUUUAUGAGGCGCCGCUAGCCAUUGUUUCAAACCGUCCUGAAUCACGGACCAAGCCUUGCAAGACCUCACUCUUAUGCCCUCUCCUUUUUGGUGGAUCGGGUCUUGCCAUCUUCCCCUCUCGUGGCUCCCUGUCAUAAAUAAAUUGUAUAUUUUUCUGA